This is a long non-coding RNA of Ornithorhynchus anatinus (platypus), 2076 nucleotides long. RefSeq lists it as uncharacterized. NCBI's taxonomy places the organism in Eukaryota, Metazoa, Chordata, Mammalia, Monotremata, Ornithorhynchidae. The record is from RefSeq and is a predicted model, not a curated record. The transcript is spliced from 6 exons.
GGGGGGGGGGUGUUUGUGACCCUAGGAUUGGUGGAAUUGGAUGCUGAUGACCUCCAACUGGUAGCCAGAAAUCCACUCUGAGGCUUGAACAGUCAGCCUUGGCAGUCUACACCGACCGCGAGAUUGCCUUUAAGUUGCAGUACCAGAACAGCUGGAGGGCCACAGCGCUGGAACGAAGAUGCUCGUGAUUCCCUGUAGUAGUAAUACUUACCCAGUGCUCACUGGGGGCAACACACUGAACUUCCAAGAGCUUGGGAAAUGAAAACCGAAGCAGCGACAUGUUCCCUGCCCACCGGGAGCUCCGCUGUGACCGACAGAGCAACUAGAGCUGGGAAACAUCUGGGAUAACCUCUACUGGGAGCCCGAGCCCCAAACUCACCAGCAGGUACUUUCUGGCAGGUGCCUAGGCCUGCUUUCUGAAACGCUCUGAACAGCUGUUGUUUGACAGACUGGUACGUCUGUGCCACCAGCUUUGCCUCGCAGUAUACCGAUGGCGUAUCUCCACGGCUUGGUAUCCGGGUGCUCAGCUGCGGAACAGAAACCAGAGAGAGCAAAUAAACCAGCAGCAGAAAUGGGAGACUCGGAGCGCGGUAAUCUCCAACAGGCAUUGCAUAAGCACCAGUCUGGCUCUGAGCGCUGGAUAUUUGCUCUGAGUUUUGAAUGCCCCAAACUCCAAAGAAAAACAUUCCCAAGCACUGAUGCCAGUCACGCAGAUUCGGAGGAAGACACAGUAACGAAAGGAGCGCAACCCAAGUGUCUGAUUUUGAAUGACUAACAAAAUCGAUGACCUCCACCGCCCUGCCCUUAACUCCGAGGAAAUGCGGCAGCAAGGCACGAUGCUACAUGGAAGAAAUCAAAGGUUGGAAAAACGUGCAAGACUGUGAGGGUCCAGAACAGGGAGCAUACAAGUAAAAAUGACAAUUUACAGGAGGACAGCACAUCCUUAGGGACCCAGAGGCAAGGCUCAGGGGACACAUACUGUCUGUCGGUCUGUCUGGUACAGAAGAAAAUGUGACUUGGAAGGACCCGUCUUAUAGUUUCCUAGACCUCUUUCUGUUUCCCACACAGAAAGCAAUUCCUUCUCUCUCUGUCUCCCACUUUUGCAGGUUCAAAUUCUAGGUCACCCCUGAGGAGAGCAAGACUCGGUUAGGAACUGAACAGCGAUAUUAUGACUGACAGAGUCCAUCAUGUCAGGGCACAGAAGCAGCAGCGGCAGGGAGCCUAGUCCCCGUGGACUUGCCACUUGGGUGAGGUCCUGAGAGGUUCACCUCUGAGGUGCCUCUGCCUCUUCUCGUGCCCUUAGGAAAAUGUCCCCGUCAGGAAAAAUUGGAGUGACAGAAUUGGCCCACCUGAAAGAGAUGUCGGGUAGAUUAACUUACUGAACAGGCCGACUGAACAUCGAGCCCGACUGCAUAGAGCGGGGCCUACCUUGCCGUAGAGUUUCAUCCACCGGGCAGAGAACGUGUGCUUGCAGAGCCUCGAUGAUUUCCCACAACUUCUCUUCCCCGUCGUGGCGUUAAUAACCUCCAGGUCCGCACUGCCCACAAUCCAGUUCACACUGAACUGGGGGGACUUUCCAGGAUGGCGCACCUCCGCGUGGCUCACCCCUGUCAGAAGACCGACGACACAAGACCGUUAAUCAACCCGGCCCUCAGCUGACCUCCUGGAAGUCGCCACUUAUUUGCAACGACAUGCGAUGUUUUGGUCACUCUAGAUGCCGUUCCAUGUGUGUAAUGCUUCGUAAGUGAAUAAUUAUCGAGCCUGUUAGAUUUCUUUACAGAGGGAGCCUACCAGCCAUUUUGGCAGCUUAGCAGUUAGGAGCAGAAACCUGAAUGGCGUAAGAGAAUUUUGAACGUUACAUGGUACAAGCAGCAGUGGUAAGAGGAGCCCUUGCAAAAAUUCUUUAGGUAGACAGAGAAGAUAGUAGUACUGUGUGAUGUGACUCUUCCUAACUCCUGUCGGAAUCCCAGCCCACACAAGAGGAAACACCAGUGUUUCUGCCAAAGCAGCAGGGGGCAAGCAGAAGCCAAAGUUUGGAAAAAAUAAAAAUAUAAUGAAAACCAUCCAGGAAAGUAA